ACAGCAGCCGCCGCGGUAACACGAAGGGGGCUAGCGUUGCUCGGAAUGACUGGGCGUAAAGGGCGCGUAGGCGGAUUGUUUAGUUAGGCGUGAAAUUCCUGGGCUUAACCUGGGGACUGCGCUUAAUACAGGCAGUCUAGAGUGAGGAAGAGGGUUGUGGAAUUCCCAGUGUAGAGGUGAAAUUCGUAGAUAUUGGGAAGAACACCGGUGGCGAAGGCGGCAACCUGGUCCUUGACUGACGCUGAGGCGCGAAAGCGUGGGGAGCAAACAGGAUUAGAUACCCGAGUAGUCCCUGUCUCUUAUAC
This 305-nucleotide ribosomal RNA is filed under the name uncultured bacterium. RNAcentral describes it as "partial 16S ribosomal RNA". It matches the Rfam family "Bacterial small subunit ribosomal RNA", at positions 508 to 807 of the family's 1533-position model. The record is from RNAcentral.